UACGGAGGGUGCAAGCGUUAUCCGGAUUCACUGGGUUUAAAGGGUGCGUAGGUGGAGUGGCAAGUCAGUGGUGAAAUCUCCAAGCUUAACUUGGAAACUGCCGUUGAUACUAUCAUUCUUGAAUAUCGUGGAGGUAAGCGGAAUAUGUCAUGUAGCGGUGAAAUGCUUAGAUAUGACAUAGAACACCGAUUGCGAAGGCAGCUUGCUACACGAUCAUUGACACUGAGGCACGAAAGCGUGGGGAUCAAACAGG
This 253-nucleotide ribosomal RNA is filed under the name uncultured bacterium. RNAcentral's name for it is "partial 16S ribosomal RNA". It matches the Rfam family "Bacterial small subunit ribosomal RNA", at positions 524 to 776 of the family's 1533-position model. The record is from RNAcentral.